This 274-nucleotide ribosomal RNA is filed under the name uncultured bacterium. RNAcentral describes it as "partial 16S ribosomal RNA". It matches the Rfam family "Bacterial small subunit ribosomal RNA", at positions 523 to 796 of the family's 1533-position model. The record is from RNAcentral.
AUACGUAGGGUGCAAGCGUUGUCCGGAUUUAUUGGGCGUAAAGGGCUCGUAGGCGGUCUGUCACGUCGGAUGUGAAAACUCGGAGCUCAACUCCGGGCCUGCAUCCGAUACGGGCAGACUAGAGUUCGGUAGGGGAGAUUGGAAUUCCUGGUGUAGCGGUGGAAUGCGCAGAUAUCAGGAGGAACACCGAUGGCGAAGGCAGAUCUCUGGGCCGAUACUGACGCUGAGGAGCGAAAGCGUGCGGAGCAAACAGGAUUAGAAACCCCAGUAGUCC